UACGUAUGGUGCAAGCGUUAUCCGGAUUUACUGGGUGUAAAGGGAGCGCAGGCGGUGCGGCAAGUCUGAUGUGAAAGCCCGGGGCUCAACCCCGGUACUGCAUUGGAAACUGUCGUACUAGAGUGUCGGAGGGGUAAGUGGAAUUCCUAGUGUAGCGGUGAAAUGCAUAGAUAUUAGGAGGAACACCAGUGGCGAAGGCGGCUUACUGGACGAUAACUGACGCUGAGGCUCGAAAGCGUGGGGAGCAAACAGG
This 253-nucleotide ribosomal RNA is filed under the name Roseburia faecis M72/1. Its description in RNAcentral is "partial 16S ribosomal RNA". It matches the Rfam family "Bacterial small subunit ribosomal RNA", at positions 524 to 776 of the family's 1533-position model. The record is from RNAcentral. Lineage: Bacteria; Bacillati; Bacillota; Clostridia; Lachnospirales; Lachnospiraceae.